RNAcentral lists this small nucleolar RNA (108 nucleotides) under Jatropha curcas. RNAcentral's name for it is "Plant small nucleolar RNA R71". It matches the Rfam family "Plant small nucleolar RNA R71". Rfam says of the family: R71 is a member of the C/D box family of snoRNAs containing the C (UGAUGA) and D (CUGA) box motifs. Multiple nearly identical copies of this snoRNA have been identified in Arabidopsis, and it is thought to function as a 2'-O-ribose methylation guide for 18S ribosomal RNA. Lineage: Eukaryota; Viridiplantae; Streptophyta; Magnoliopsida; Malpighiales; Euphorbiaceae. The record is from Rfam by way of RNAcentral.
AAACUAUGGUGAGGACAUUUUCUCAACAAAUCUUUAAAUCUUUCCCAAGCUUCAUACAAGCUUUCUUGAUCAUGAUGAACAAAGGUCAUAAUUUCAUUUCGUAAUUUU